GACUCCUCUCCAUUGGAUCUCUAGCACCUAGAAUAGAGCUGGGUACACAUGAUGAGGUGCUUAAUACGUAUUUGUCAAAUUGAAUGUCAAGUUUUAGGAGUUUAAAGAGUGUUUUCAAAUGGGGAGAAGCCGAGACACAAAUAGUCUCAGGAAUGAGAUGAAAUUAUUUAACCAAUUGGAGAUGAAAUUCGAAAUGGAAACUAUGACAUGACUCAACAUCCUCAAGCCCUGAAGUAAUAAUUAGCACAUAAAGUUGGUCUGUUAUGGACUUUGUGUUGUGCUCCCUGCAAAAUUGGAUACAGAGAGAAGACAGCUGUCUGCAAACCAGAAAGAGAGUCCUCACUGCACUUCAUAUCUGCCAAUGGAUCCUUGCUCUUGAACCUCCCAACCUGCAGAAUCAUGAGAAACAAACAUUGUGUAAGCCACCCACUCUACAGUAAUUUGUUCUAGCAGACCGAGCUGACUGAGGUUAAAAUUCCUAUGCGAAUCUGACUGACCCAGCUUGGGCUUCAUUCCAACCUCUUGGCUAGAUAAGAGUGUGGAACCUUAACUGAUGGUCCCUUUGACUGCCCGCCACAAGGGAAGAUCCAAAGUGUGGCAGAGAGUGACCAGGUCCCAGACAGGCAAAAUCAGCAGAUGUCCAUUCGCAAGCCAAAAGAGCUCCAGAAAAUGUUCUCUUUGAAUAGAAACCAUGUUUGCUAUACUCAUCCUGGAAAGUGGCCAUCCUGCUGGUCCUUAGAGCAGGCUGUGCCUGGGAGCCAUCUUUGAAUAUCCUCUGAGCUCAGAGGGAGAGACAUACCUCUAGUGAGGAUCCUGGAAACCUGCAUUUGCUCUAGGGGAAGCCUGCAGCUAUGUCAUGAGGACCCUCAACAGCCCUGUGCAGAGGACUAUGUGGCAUGAAAGAUACCUUCUGCCAACAACCAGCCCCAACUUGCCAAGCAUGUGAACAAGCUAAACUGAAAGCAGAUCUUCAGCCCCAAUCAAGCCUUCAGAUGACAGUAACCUCAGCCAAUAUACUGACUAUAACCUCAUAAAAGACCCUGAACCAGAACCCUCUAAGCCACUCUCAAACUCUACCCCACAUAAACUGUGAAA
RNAcentral lists this long non-coding RNA (1095 nucleotides) under Homo sapiens (human). Its description in RNAcentral is "HSALNT0046340". Lineage: Eukaryota; Metazoa; Chordata; Mammalia; Primates; Hominidae. The record is from RNAcentral.